UAAGUCCUAUAGCGCACAGUCUUGCACCUACACACCGACACCAACAUGCCCAAGCACAGCAGCCGGAGGGCACCCAUACACAGGGGCUCUCUGGGAAGCAACACCACUCUCGUUCCUGAAGCACAAAACCCCAGCGGGGGGUUCAACCUGGCACCAACCGUGAGGGACUCAACCAUCUGCCCCGCUAAAUGCGAGAGGAGGAAGGAGAAGACCCCAUAGAGACUGUGCUGGGACCCCCAAGCCGCACUCACUGCUCUCUACAUGCAACGCGUGCAAUCACAUCGUGCUCCUCUAUGGGGGGUCGAUCAAUUCAUGGCCAACCUAUUCCCAUCCAUACAGAUAUGAUUGCCCCUCUGCCAGAAACCUAAACACAGAACAGUGUUGUAGGGAUUUCUGUUUCUACCAUCUACACAAAUUAUUAUAAUUAUUAUUAGUAUCCUUCAUAUAUACUCUGUCUGUCUGACUCUAUCUCAGACUAACUGUAUGACUAUCUGCCAGCAGCAAUAUGUUACAUAGUACCUGAAUCUUCAUUUAAUUACCUUUCUGCUUAUAUCUCUGCCAAUAAUGCAUUUACACUAUCAAUAAGAGACCUAAAAUAUAAGUAGCAGUAAAAUAAAGCUACAUUUGUUUAUG
Molecule: long non-coding RNA, 633 nt
Organism: Xenopus tropicalis (tropical clawed frog)
Lineage: Eukaryota; Metazoa; Chordata; Amphibia; Anura; Pipidae
Exons: 2
Source: RefSeq, a predicted model, not a curated record